CGCGAAGAACCUUACCAGGUCUUGACAUCCUCUGACAAUCCUAGAGAUAGGACGUCCCCUUCGGGGGCAGAGUGACAGGUGGUGCAUGGUUGUCGUCAGCUCGUGUCGUGAGAUGUUGGGUUAAGUCCCGCAACGAGCGCAACCCUUGAUCUUAGUUGCCAGCAUUCAGUUGGGCACUCUAAGGUGACUGCCGGUGACAAACCGGAGGAAGGUGGGGAUGACGUCAAAUCAUCAUGCCCCUUAUGACCUGGGCUACACACGUGCUACAAUGGACAGAACAAAGGGCAGCGAAACCGCGAGGUUAAGCCAAUCCCACAAAUCUGUUCUCAGUUCGGAUCGCAGUCUGCAACUCGACUGCGUGAAGCUGGAAUCGCUAGUAAUCGCGGAUCAGCAUGCCGCGGUGAAUACGUUCCCGGGCCUUGUACACACCGCCCGUCACAC
This 441-nucleotide ribosomal RNA is filed under the name Bacillus sp. (in: firmicutes). Its description in RNAcentral is "bacterial SSU rRNA". It matches the Rfam family "Bacterial small subunit ribosomal RNA", at positions 960 to 1402 of the family's 1533-position model. Lineage: Bacteria; Bacillati; Bacillota; Bacilli; Caryophanales; Bacillaceae. The record is from RNAcentral.